UUAGCAGUUCGGGAAGUGUGUGGGUGAAAAACGAGAAAAUCUAGGACAAGGAAGCGAGCAGUUGAACAUUGCCUAAGAAGUCUUCUGGAUCAACGACAAAGUCCAUUUGAAGUUGGCACUAUCAGAAGGUCCAAAAUCGAAUCCAAAACACGUGAAACUUUUAUCUUUUGUCUUACAUGAGCCAAAAGUGAUGUGUGGAUUUAGGAUUAUACUUGGAGAAGAUCAUGAUUUGGUCUCAAAUCAAGUUUAUCAAUCAACC
RNAcentral lists this long non-coding RNA (259 nucleotides) under Oryza brachyantha (malo sina). Its description in RNAcentral is "long non-coding RNA (OBRA_LNC000774)". Lineage: Eukaryota; Viridiplantae; Streptophyta; Magnoliopsida; Poales; Poaceae. The record is from RNAcentral.